Molecule: long non-coding RNA, 544 nt
Filed under: Elaeis guineensis (African oil palm)
Lineage: Eukaryota; Viridiplantae; Streptophyta; Magnoliopsida; Arecales; Arecaceae
Description: long non-coding RNA (EGUI_LNC032131)
Source: RNAcentral
UUGCUCCCAGAUCUUCUUCUCCAUGGUGGUUGGCUUCUUCUCAUACAAGAGAGCAUCGAUCAAUCUAUAUUGGAUGAGCAUGUCCUUCACCUUCAUUUUCCACAAGAAGAAAUUAUUGUUCUCGUCGAAGUGGUUGAUCUCCACUUUGAUUGUGUUUGUCUUCUCCAUCUCCAAUCUCGAUCAACACCACUUCUGUUUGGAUCAUCUGGUACCAUUUGUCUAUGGUAACGAGACUCUGAUAUCAAUUGUUGUGCUCUAAUACUACUUGUUGAGGGAGGAAGAAAGAAGAAAGAGAGAGAAAAAUAUCACAAAUAAAUCAAGAUAAUGUGGAUUGGCCUCAAGUCUAUCUCUAUGGGGCGUGCAAGCUUCACUAUGAAAGAAAGAAAAUCAAACAAAUACAAGGGGAACUCAUCACUCAACCCUUGUACGAAGAUUUCUCAACAAGAAGCUCCAAAAUUUUUACAAAAGCUCUUUGAAACCUCUUUUGAAGCCUCUCUACAUGAUUAAAACGUCACCAGCUAUCCUACGCAACAAACGGCUCGUC